GACGAACGCUGGCGGCGUGCUUAACACAUGCAAGUCGAACGGAAAGGCCCUGCUUUUGUGGGGUGCUCGAGUGGCGAACGGGGGAGUAACACGUGAGUAACCUGCCCUUGACUUUGGGAUAACUUCAGGAAACUGGGGCUAAUACCGGAUAGGAGCUCCUGCUGCAUGGUGGGGGUUGGAAAGUUUCGGCGGUUGGGGAUGGACUCGCGGCUUAUCAGCUUGUUGGUGGGGUAGUGGCUUACCAAGGCUUUGACGGGUAGCCGGCCUGAGAGGGUGACCGGCCACAUUGGGACUGAGAUACGGACCAGACUCCUACGGGCGGCAGCAGUGGGGAAUCUUGCACAAUGGGCGGAAGCCUGAUGCAGCAACCCCGCGUGCGGGAUGACGGCCUUCGGGUUGUAAACCGCUUUCGCCUGUGACGAAGCGUGCGUGACGGUAAUGGGUAAAGAAGCACCGGCUAACUACGUG
RNAcentral lists this ribosomal RNA (468 nucleotides) under uncultured bacterium. Its description in RNAcentral is "partial 16S ribosomal RNA". It matches the Rfam family "Bacterial small subunit ribosomal RNA", at positions 28 to 507 of the family's 1533-position model. The record is from RNAcentral.